UGCUACAGAGACCUCAAUUUUAGGCUCAUGUG
Molecule: non-coding RNA, 32 nt
Filed under: Rattus norvegicus (Norway rat)
Lineage: Eukaryota; Metazoa; Chordata; Mammalia; Rodentia; Muridae
Source: RNAcentral